ACUGGCGUUGAAACUCAUCGUUUCAUUAAAGAUGGUGUUAUGUGGGCUUCAUUUUCAUUAUGGGCCUUAAUUUUGCUCCAGUCACACAGCCAGUAGAUAAUAUUUUAAGCUGUAAACGUGGUCCUAAGCGUCGUUUUGAUACUAGGUUUGUGCCUGAUUUCGUCUACGCCAUUUGAGAUCGAAACAACCGAGUUCUGAGAGCAAUGUUUCAUCUUCUUCCUUAGAAUCCGAAAAGCUAUCAGUUACUUUUCAUCUUCUUAAAGUCCUUAUUAAAUCCAUCACCCAUGAUUUACAUUGAAUGUGAGUUUCCCCCGUAGAAGGCGGUGGAACUGCGAUUAUAAAAAGAAUGGUCAAGGACGUACAGUAGCAUGUUCCAUCCAGGAGAGGCCGAAACAGGAGUCAUUCCAUUAUACAAUUUCAAGGUCUCUUACAUCACAUCCCACCUCUCUUGGUGUUCUUCAACAGUGUAACUUCUAACCUGAGGCUGAGAAUUUCUAAAGGAGGUCGCUUUUGUUGAUCAAACACCCCAUUACCAUAGAAUCUCAAGAUUGCGACUUUACAUGGGUUUAGGUGAUAGCCGUCAAUGGGCAGUUUCCAAGACCCAUGUUUAAUGCUAUGACCAACUACAAUGUUAUUGUUAGUCUUAAUUGGAUGAGCCUCUUCUUUUGACUUGGUGGAAUAUCAAAUUGGAAGCUUCUUCUACUCUCCCUGACUCAACUUUCAGAGAGCAUAUGGUAAUUUUGGUCAUGUUGUGAUUAAUAACUGGAAUAUUAAUCUUAUCCUUUUCCCACAGCCUGACGGCGAAAUGGAUAAUACAUGACUAUGGAAAAGAACUUGGGAUGCCGGAUGGAGUCUCAUCAUUAGACUUAUAGCUUCCCGUUCCAAUCUAUGUGAGAAUCAAAUAUGGGUCUGUGUCCUUUACUUCGCCUUGGUUGUUACUGAGAUCUACGGUGGUUGUUUUGCUUCUCUUUUCAAAUGGUGUGGGAAUGGUGGCAUCUUUCCAGUAAGUAAGUGAGACAUACGGAUAAGGUUUGUUUUUUCACGGAGCUAUCAGGUAGUUCCUUUCUCCGUGCGGCCUACUUUGAGGACAGUUGACAGAGUGUUUGAGGCGGUACUAUUUGGUGGCGGUGGAGGCGAGUCUGUCUGUAGAGUGUGGCUUAGAUUAAUUCUAAUAUUCCGCACUGGUGAAACCGUUUUGUUCAUGUAGAGGUUCCCUAACUUACGUUUUCCUUUUCUUUUCUUGCAAUUUAUCUAGAAUCUAGAUUCAUAUAAACUACUUUCUGCUAAUUUUAUUUUCUCUGUAGUUUGACAUCAUAGAAGUUAAUAGUAAUUUUGUGCACUUGCAAGCUUGGUUCGAGAAAGCGAGCGCUUUAAGCGCCAAGGCGCAAAGCGACCCUAAGCGAGGACCUCAUCGCUUGCGGACCUCAUGGCGAAGCAAGGUACAUAAAUCCCUCGCUUUCCCUCGCUUUGUAUCGCUUUGGAGAUAUUCGUAAAGCGCUAAAAACGUCUUUGUUGUACCUGUAGAAAAAAGUAGAUUUUAUUCAAAUUUGUGAAAUUAACAAAACCGUUUUAAGAAGAAUAUUUACCAUAUCUAAAAGUAUAUACUCUUUUCACGUAUUAGCUUUGACAAGGAGUUGGAGUAUGAGGACUCUGAAUUGUCUACUGUUCUGUUUUAAUUUGCUUUUGAACUUUUAUUUUGGUGUUUGCAUUUGCUUUUUUUCAGUUAUGUUUUAAGUUAUGGAUUGGUUUUUUAUUAUAUGGAUUUGGUUUUUCAAGUUAUGUUGCCUGAUAUACAUAUAGUGUUCGAGAGGUUACCUUUUGGUUGCAGGAUACACAAAGCGCUCGCUUUAUGUCGCCAAGGCGCUAAGCGCUAAGCGCUCAUCUCCUCGCUUCGUCUCGCCAUGUGCUUUCUCGAACCAAGCUUGCAAGAAUAAUCAAACUUAUUACUCUAAUUACUCACAGAACUUACUAAAAAUAUUAAUGGUUCUGAAUUUUGACGUAUCGGCAAGUGUUACAAUAAACUGCAGACUUAUUGAGUC
Molecule: long non-coding RNA, 2039 nt
Organism: Raphanus sativus (radish)
Lineage: Eukaryota; Viridiplantae; Streptophyta; Magnoliopsida; Brassicales; Brassicaceae
Exons: 5
Source: RefSeq, a predicted model, not a curated record